GACGAACGCUGGCGGCGUGCCUAAUACAUGCAAGUAGAACGCUGAAGAGAGGAGCUUGCUCUUCUUGGAUGAGUUGCGAACGGGUGAGUAACGCGUAGGUAACCUGCCUUGUAGCGGGGGAUAACUAUUGGAAACGAUAGCUAAUACCGCAUAACAAUGGAUGACACAUGUCAUUUAUUUGAAAGGGGCAAUUGCUCCACUACAAGAUGGACCUGCGUUGUAUUAGCUAGUAGGUGAGGUAACGGCUCACCUAGGCGACGAUACAUAGCCGACCUGAGAGGGUGAUCGGCCACACUGGGACUGAGACACGGCCCAGACUCCUACGGGAGGCAGCAGUAGGGAAUCUUCGGCAAUGGGGGCAACCCUGACCGAGCAACGCCGCGUGAGUGAAGAAGGUUUUCGGAUCGUAAAGCUCUGUUGUAAGUCAAGAACGGGUGUGAGAGUGGAAAGUUCACACUGGGACGGUAGCGUACCAGAAAGGGACGGCUAACUACGU
This 496-nucleotide ribosomal RNA is filed under the name uncultured bacterium. RNAcentral describes it as "partial 16S ribosomal RNA". It matches the Rfam family "Bacterial small subunit ribosomal RNA", at positions 28 to 506 of the family's 1533-position model. The record is from RNAcentral.